UUUUUGCCUUUUUUUUGUUGCAGAAUCCGGAUUUAUCUCAAGCUCCGCUGUGACCUCCCCCCCAAAAGCCACGCCAUCAACGUCCGGCUGCAGCUCCCGGUGCCCAAAGGCGUCUCCAGCCUGUGGCAGGAGCUGAGCAGCCCCGAGCAAUCGGCCGAGCUGGAUUUGCCUUCCCGGAGCAUCCGCUGGGAAAUUCCCAAA
Non-coding RNA from Cyanistes caeruleus (blue tit), 201 nucleotides. The record is from RefSeq and is a predicted model, not a curated record. NCBI's taxonomy places the organism in Eukaryota, Metazoa, Chordata, Aves, Passeriformes, Paridae.